Molecule: ribosomal RNA, 549 nt
Filed under: uncultured bacterium
Lineage: Bacteria
Description: bacterial SSU rRNA
Rfam family: Bacterial small subunit ribosomal RNA
Source: RNAcentral
UGGGGAAUCUUCCGCAAUGGGCGAAAGCCUGACGGAGCAACGCCGCGUGAGUGAAGAAGGUCUUCGGAUCGUAAAGCUCUGUUGUUGGGGACGAAAGGGAAGGGGAGGAGAUGCCCUUUUUAAGACGGUACCCGACGAGCAAGCCACGGCUAACUACGUGCCAGCAGCCGCGGUAAUACGUAGGUGGCGAGCGUUGUCCGGAAUGAUUGGGCGUAAAGGGAGCGCAGGUGGGACGGUAAGUCCUUCUUAAAAGCGUGGGGCUCAGCCCCAUGAAGGGAGGGAAACUAUCGAUCUUGAGUGCCGGAGAGGAAAGCGGAAUUCCCAGUGUAGCGGUGAAAUGCGUAGAUAUUGGGAAGAACACCAGUGGCGAAGGCGGCUUUCUGGACGGCAACUGACACUGAGGCUCGAAAGCCAGGGGAGCGAACGGGAUUAGAUACCCCGGUAGUCCUGGCCGUAAACGAUGGAUACUAGGUGUAGGAGGUAUCGACCCCUUCUGUGCCGGAGUUAACGCAAUAAGUACCCCGCCUGGGGAGUACGGUCGCAAGAUUG